CAUGCAAGUCGAACGGAAAGGCCCUUCGGGGUGCUCGAGUGGCGAACGGGUGAGUAACACGUGGGUGAUCUGCCCUGCACUUUGGGAUAAGCCUGGGAAACUGGGUCUAAUACCGAAUAUGACUGCAUUCUUCAUGGGGUGUGGUGGAAAGCUUUUGCGGUGUGGGAUGGGCCCGCGGCCUAUCAGCUUGUUGGUGGGGUAAUGGCCUACCAAGGCGACGACGGGUAGCCGGCCUGAGAGGGUGACCGGCCACACUGGGACUGAGAUACGGCCCAGACUCCUACGGGAGGCAGCAGUGGGGAAUAUUGCACAAUGGGCGCAAGCCUGAUGCAGCGACGCCGCGUGAGGGAUGACGGCCUUCGGGUUGUAAACCUCUUUCAGCACAGACGAAGCGUGAGUGACGGUAUGUGCAGAAGAAGGACCGGCCAACUACGUGCCAGCAGCCGCGGUAAUACGUAGGGUCCGAGCGUUGUCCGGAAUUACUGGGCGUAAAGAGCUCGUAGGUGGUUUGUCGCGUUGUUCGUGAAAACUCACAGCUUAACUGUGGGCGUGCGGGCGAUACGGGCAGACUUGAGUACUGCAGGGGAGACUGGAAUUCCUGGUGUAGCGGUGGAAUGCGCAGAUAUCAGGAGGAACACCGGUGGCGAAGGCGGGUCUCUGGGCAGUAACUGACGCUGAGGAGCGAAAGCGUGGGGAGCGAACAGGAUUAGAUACCCUGGUAGUCCACGCCG
RNAcentral lists this ribosomal RNA (731 nucleotides) under Mycobacterium sp. RI16. RNAcentral describes it as "bacterial SSU rRNA". It matches the Rfam family "Bacterial small subunit ribosomal RNA", at positions 54 to 802 of the family's 1533-position model. The record is from RNAcentral. Lineage: Bacteria; Bacillati; Actinomycetota; Actinomycetes; Mycobacteriales; Mycobacteriaceae.